UAAUACUUGUUGCAUGACAUACAA
This 24-nucleotide non-coding RNA is filed under the name Arabidopsis thaliana (thale cress). Lineage: Eukaryota; Viridiplantae; Streptophyta; Magnoliopsida; Brassicales; Brassicaceae. The record is from RNAcentral.